GCCAGGUGCAGUGGUGCCCGCCUGUAAUCCCAGGGGCUCAGGAGGUUGAGGCAGGAGGAUCAUGAGUUCAAAGCCAGCGUCAGCAAAAGCAAGGCACUAAGCAAUUCAGUGAGAUCCUGUCUCUA
Molecule: small RNA, 125 nt
Filed under: Marmota monax (woodchuck)
Lineage: Eukaryota; Metazoa; Chordata; Mammalia; Rodentia; Sciuridae
Source: RNAcentral